RNAcentral lists this antisense RNA (75 nucleotides) under Streptomyces platensis. Its description in RNAcentral is "ASpks TB sRNA". It matches the Rfam family "ASpks TB sRNA". Lineage: Bacteria; Bacillati; Actinomycetota; Actinomycetes; Kitasatosporales; Streptomycetaceae. The record is from Rfam by way of RNAcentral.
CUUCAGCGAACCCAGCCACAACGGCCGGUCCGCCGACCGGGCCUGUCCGUAGGUGGCGAUCAACGCCUGCGCCUC